The sequence is a transfer RNA, 85 nucleotides long. It matches the Rfam family "tRNA". Rfam says of the family: Transfer RNA (tRNA) molecules are approximately 80 nucleotides in length. Their secondary structure includes four short double-helical elements and three loops (D, anti-codon, and T loops). The record is from Rfam.
GCCCACUUAGCUCAAUGGUAGAGCGCAGGAAAGCUUCGAGAGAACAAGGUGUCUGUGGUCACUGGUUCGAAUCCAGUAGUGGGUA